Long non-coding RNA from Carassius gibelio (silver crucian carp), 3053 nucleotides. RefSeq lists it as uncharacterized. NCBI's taxonomy places the organism in Eukaryota, Metazoa, Chordata, Actinopteri, Cypriniformes, Cyprinidae. The transcript is spliced from 2 exons. The record is from RefSeq and is a predicted model, not a curated record.
UAUGAGGUGUGCAUAUAGUAUGGGACAUCCCUGAUAAGAACUGACUGUUGCUUUUUUCUAUUUAUUAGAAAUGGGAUCUUUACAGCCAUUUAAAGUGUAAUAAUGUCCCAUAUCUCGAAAAUGCUGCAGUAAAAUGGCUUGAUAUGAGGUGUGCAUAUAGUGUGGGAGGUCCCUGAUAAGAACUGACUUUUGUUUUUUUCUACUUAUUAGAAAUGGGAUCUUUAUAGCCCUUUAAAGUGUAAUAAUGUCCCAUAUCUCAAAAAUGCUGCAGUAAAAGGGUUUGAUAUGAGGUGUGCAUAUAGUAUGGGAUGUCCUUUAUAAGAACUGACCAUUGUUUUUUUCUACUUAUUAGAAAUGAUGUCUUUAUAGCCCUACAAAUCACCAUUUGGACCCAUAUCUCAAAAAUGCUGCAGUAAAAUGGUUUGAUAUGAGGUGUGCAUAUAGUAUGGCAUGUCCUUUAUAAGAACUGACCAUUGUUUUUUUCUACUUAUUAGAAAUGGGAUCUUUAUAGCCCUUUAAAGUGUAAUAAUGUCCCAUAUCUUGAAAAUGCUGCAGUAAAAUGGUUUGAUAUGAGGUGUGCAUAUAGUAUGGGACAUCCCUGAUAAGAACUGACUGUUGCUUUUUUCUACUUAUUAGAAAUGGGAUCUUUACAGCCAUUUAAAGUGUAAUAAUGUCCCAUAUCUCGAAAAUGCUGCAGUAAAAUGGUUUGAUAUGAGGUGUGCAUAUAGUAUGGGAUGUCCCUGAUAAGAACUGACUUUUGUUUUUUUCUACUUAUUAGAAAUGUGAUCUUUACAGCCAUUUAAAGUGUAAUAAUGUCCCGUAUCUUGAAAAUGCUGCAGUAAAAUGGUUUGAUAUGAGGUGUGCAUAUAGUAUGGGACGUCCCUGAUAAGAACUGACUAUUGUUUUUUUCUACUUAUUAGAAAUGGUGUCUUUAUAGCCCUCUAAAUCAUUGUAUUGUCCCAUAUCUGAAAAAUGCUGCAGUAAAAUGGUUUGAAAUGAGGUGUGCAUAUAGUAUGGGACAUCCCAGAUAAGAACUGACUGUUGUUUUUUUCUACUUAUUAGAAAUGGGAUCUUUACAGCCAUUUAAAGUGUAAUAAUGUCCCAUAUCUCGAAAAUGCUGCAGUAAAAUGGUUUGAUAUGAGGUGUGCAUAUAUUAUGGGAUGUCCCUGAUAAGAACUGACUUUCGUUUUUUUCUACUUAUUAGAAAUGGGAUCUUUACAGCCCUUUAAAGUGUAAUAAUGUCCCAUAUCUCGAAAAUGCUGCAGUAAAAUGGUUUGAUAUGAGGUGUGCAUAUAGUAUGGCAUGUCCUUUAUAAGAACUGACCAUUGUUUUUUUCUACUUAUUAGAAAUGGGGUCUUUGUAGCACUCUAAAUCACCAUUUGGACCCAUAUCUCAAAAAUGCUGCAGUAAAAGGGUUUGAUAUGAGGUGUGCAUAUAGUAUGGGACAUCCCUUAUAGGAACAUACCAUUGUUUUUAUCUACUUAUUAGAAAUGGGAUCUUUAUAGCCCUUUAAAAUAUAAUAAUGUCCCAUAUCUCGAAAAUUCUGCAGUAAAAUGGUUUGAUAUGAGGUGUGCAUAUAGUAUGGGAUGUCCCUGAUAAGAACUGACUUUUGUUUUUUUCUACUUAUUAGAAAUGGGAUCUUUACAGCCCUUUAAAGUGUAAAAAUGUCUCGUAUCUUAAAAAUGCUGCAGUAAAAUGGUUUCAUAUGAAGGGUGCAUAUAGUAUGGGACGUCCCUGAUAAGAACUGACUAUUGUUUUUUUCUACUUAUUAGAAAUGUUGUCUUUAUAGCCCUCUAAAUUGCCACAUGGACCCAUAUCUCAAAAAUGCUGCAGUAAAAUGGUUUGAUAUGAUUUGUGCAUAUAGUAUGGAAUGUCCUUUAUAAGAUCUGACCAUUGUUUUUUUCUACUUAUUAGAAAUGGGAUCUUCACAGCCCGUUAAAGUGUAAUAAUUUCCCAUUUCUGGAAAAAGCUGCAGUAAAAUGGUUUGAUAUGAGAUGUGCUCAUAGUAUGGGACGUCACUGAUGAGAACUGACUAUUAUUUUUUUCUACUUAUUAGAAAUGGGGUCUUUAUAGCACUCUAAAUUGCCAUAUGGACCCAUAUCUCAAACAUGCUGCAGUAAAAUGCUUUGAUAUGAGGUGUGCAUAUAGUAUGGCAUGUGCUUCAUAAGAACUGACCAUUGUUUUUUUCUACUUAUUAGAAAUGGUGUCUUUAUAGCCAUCGAAAUCACCAUUUGGACCCAUAUGUCAAAAAUGCUGCAGUAAAAGGUUUUGAUAUGAGGUGUGCAUAUAGUAUGUGAAAUCCCUUAUAGGAACAGACUAUUGUUUUUUUCUACUUAUUAGAAAUGGUGUCUUUAUAGCCCUUUAAAUCAUUGUAUUGUCCCAUAUAUUAAAAAUGCUGCAGUAAAAUGGUUUCAUAUGAAGUGUGCAUAUAGUAUGGGAUGUCCCUGAUAAGAACUGACUAUUGUUUUUUUCUACUUAUUAGAAAUGGUGUCUUUAUCGCCCUCUAAAUCAUUGUAUUGUCCCAUAUCUCAAAAAUGCUGCAGUAAAAUGGUUUCAUAUGAAGGGUGCAAAUAGUAUGUGAUGUCCCUGAUAAGAACUGACCUUUGUUUUUUUCUACUUAUUAGAAAUGUUGACUUUAUAGCCCUCUAAAUCGCGAUAUGGACGCAUAUCUCAAAAAUGCUGCAGUAAAAUGGUUUGAUAUGAGGUUUGCAUAUAGUUUGGGAUGUCCCUUAUAUGAACUGACCUUUGUUUUUUUUCUACUUAUUAGAAAUAGGGUUGUGAUGAGUGGGGCGGGGCCGCGAGCCAUGAGAACGGAAUGAGGCCAGUGGAGUGACUGGAAAUGAGCGACGCCUGCUCCACUCACCGGUCUCGCGUCCCGCGGUGGAGAUGGAAGGAUACAAAAGAGGGGGCGACGACAGUGAACAACGAGAGAGGGCCAGGCCAGGCCAUGAUUUUAGUUUGUACUUGGUUUUUGUUUGUAAGCGACAGUUGUCCGUGAAGGGCUGUCGCAGUGUUUUGUGUUUAUUUUGUUAUUAAAAGCCUUAUUUGAUUGA